UUACCUUCAAAACAAUAGGUUGCUUUCUGGCCUUGGGUGUAUCUAGAAAUACCCUCUGGGAGCUAGGUCCUGGAAUGAGGACUUCAGGACUCUGCCCGCUGCCCUAUUCUACUGUGGCUGAUGUGAUACCUGUGCCGACCUGCUCCAUCCUACCUGGGACAUCCAUCAUUCCUGUUUUCAAGAAUCCAAGUUCAAGGGGAAAAGUCAAGGACUAGAAUCACAGGUCAUAGCAUCAUUCAGUUAAGCAGGAAACUAAGAUAAGCAGUGUUCCAUCAUAAGUCUUACUCAGGGAAAGUAACUUUAUCAUCUGCAGUGCACAAGACCAGAAGAAUGACCGAUCUUUACCCCUCACCUCAUUAUAACACUAAAACCUCUGCCAAGGGGGUUCUUAUCUGCCAUUUUCUGCUCAUGUGAUGUAUGUGUUAGCAUGAUCCCUUACUACACCUGAGCAUCCUGCACUCCACCCCAUACAUGUAGUGAUGCUCACCUACUUCUUGAAUUAUUAAUGUCACCUCCUUAAGACACUGCAAUGCACUCCCCUCUGGGAGCCGGCUGGAGAAAUUUUGCUCCAGUACUGUCUCCCUUGUGUUCCAGCAUAACCCCCUAAUAAAGCUUUGUCUGGGAA
RNAcentral lists this long non-coding RNA (625 nucleotides) under Homo sapiens (human). RNAcentral's name for it is "HSALNT0056331". The record is from RNAcentral. Lineage: Eukaryota; Metazoa; Chordata; Mammalia; Primates; Hominidae.